RNAcentral lists this ribosomal RNA (468 nucleotides) under uncultured bacterium. RNAcentral describes it as "partial 16S ribosomal RNA". It matches the Rfam family "Bacterial small subunit ribosomal RNA", at positions 28 to 507 of the family's 1533-position model. The record is from RNAcentral.
GACGAACGCUGGCGGCGUGCUUAACACAUGCAAGUCGAACGGAAAGGCCCUGCUUUUGUGGGGUGCUCGAGUGGCGAACGGGUGAGUAACACGUGAGUAACCUGCCCUUGACUUUGGGAUAACUUCAGGAAACUGGGGCUAAUACCGGAUAGGAGCUCCUGCUGCAUGGUGGGGGUUGGAAAGUUUCGGCGGUUGGGGAUGGACUCGCGGGUUAUCAGCUUGUUGGUGGGGUAGUGGCUUACCAAGGCUUUGACGGGUAGCCGGCCUGAGAGGGUGACCGGCCACAUUGGGACUGAGAUACGGCCCAGACUCCUACGGGAGGCAGCAGUGGGGAAUAUUGCACAAUGGGCGGAAGCCUGAUGCAGCAACGCCGCGUGCGGGAAGACGGCCUUCGGGUUGUAAACCGCUUUCGCCUGUGACGAAGCGUGAGUGACGGUAAUGGGUAAAGAAGCACCGGCUAACUACGUG